Molecule: ribosomal RNA, 482 nt
Filed under: uncultured Saprospiraceae bacterium
Lineage: Bacteria; Pseudomonadati; Bacteroidota; Saprospiria; Saprospirales; Saprospiraceae
Description: bacterial SSU rRNA
Rfam family: Bacterial small subunit ribosomal RNA
Source: RNAcentral
GAUGAACGCUAGCGGGAGGCUUAAUACAUGCAAGUCGAGGGGUAACAUGAGAGCUUGCUCUUGAUGACGACCGGCGCACGGGUGAGUAACGCGUACACGAUCUACCUUCAGGUAAGGGAUAGCCCUGGGAAACUGGGAGUAAUACCUUAUGGUAUUGAUUUAUUUAGAUAUUGAUCAAUUAAAGCUUUGGUGCCUGGAGAUGAGUGUGCGUCCUAUUAGCUAGUUGGUAAGGUAAUGGCUUACCAAGGCGACGAUAGGUAGGGGGCGUGAGAGCGUGAUCCCCCACACGGGUACUGAGACACGGACCCGACUCCUACGGGAGGCAGCAGUAAGGAAUAUUGGACAAUGGGCGCAAGCCUGAUCCAGCCAUCCCGCGUGUAGGAUGACUGCCCUCUGGGUUGUAAACUACUUUUAUAUGGGAAGAAUAGCAGUGACUUGUCAUUGUAUGACGGUACCAUAAGAAUAAGCACCGGCUAACUCCG